Molecule: long non-coding RNA, 505 nt
Organism: Dermacentor albipictus
Lineage: Eukaryota; Metazoa; Arthropoda; Arachnida; Ixodida; Ixodidae
Source: RefSeq, a predicted model, not a curated record
GCAAGGAACGCUCCGCUUGCUUCAAAGUACAAAACGCCAGAGCAGUUCCCGCACUUCACGCCGUUGCCGUGGAGCCAGAAGCGAAAACUCUCAAGCCUGCUGUCUUCGUCGCCCGUUAGCGUGGGACAUAGCAAAAGGACAUUCGCCAUGAAGUCCAACGUUAUCUUGGCCCUUUUCAUCCUGGGGCAUCUGUGCCAAAUUCACGCAGCCACGCUGACCAAGCCGGCAAAGAACACAGACGACGCAUCGAAAGAACUCACGGAAAAGAUUUCCCGUUCACUCAUGGAGCACCGCGAAGAGAUCCUCGAGGCAUUCAAGACACUCGAAAAGUCUGUCGACAGUUUCGGCGACGAAACCGUUGAGCAGGCCAUUCCGGCCGUAAUUGCGGCUGUAGCGGGGAACAUUGCAAACAGUGCUAUAUCCGGCGCUGUCGGGGCUGUUGUGGGGUGGUUAAUUAGCAAUAACUGAAUGCUCCCUCGGAGUCGUCUCCUUGUUAUCAUUACAA